CGUCUUCCCCUCCCCUUCCUCCUCGGCGCCGCCCCCUCCUCCUCGCCGUCCGCGGAGCCCAAAUACGCGACACCUGGAGCAAUAGCAGCCGCCCGCGGCCUGGGCCUCAUUACGGCCGGCCCUUAUCGCGGCGUGCAUCACAUUAUUUCAUUUCAAAGAAUCCGCAGAGAAACCCGUCCCCGGCCGACAACAGAAAGUAAAAACACAGCUGACUCCCAUUAGGGCCCUCUCACGGGCUCCGCGUGAGGCGAUUCCCAGGUACCCACCUGGUGCCAAGGGGCGUACGUGCUAAGGUCCCUGCGCAGAAAAGGCCGGCAAGCAGCAAAUUCCUUGUGAAUCCAGCAGGCAGAGAUUCCCAAGAUCUGAGGAGAGCAUGCCCUCAGGGCCCCCCACCUCCCACUGGGCCUCCCCUUCUGUCAGGCCCCCUCUCCUGAUCUUCUCAGAUGCCUGCUGCCCUCCUGCUACCUACCUCUCUCUACCAGGAGAGAGGUCAGACACUGACGAAUACUGAUGCAGCACUUACCUCAUGCCAGUCUUGACAAGAACCCCUUAAGGUCAGCGCUCACCAUUUUGCAGAUGAGGAAGCUGGACCACAGAGAAGUGAGCUGACUUGUCCAAGGUCAACAGCUAGUGAGUGGCAGUAACCCAGAAGGUUCGAUGCCUAACUCCACACCGUUGAUCACUGUACAAUCUGAACCUCACAGGGAGGAAGCAGGAACAGGGGGCAGCUAACAGCUAACGGGACACAACUGAGAGCACUCAGAUUUCUGCAGAAGCCUACGGAGCUGCUCUUUACACAUGGAUUUGAUCCUCCCAACACUGUUGUGAGGCAGGUUUGGGGGCCUCAUUUUAACAGCCGAGUGAACUGAACCCCAGAGGAGAAAGGCCUCUGCAUUUCAGCAAGUUUCUCCAGCAAGUCCGUACAGAGCUGAGGUUAGAACCGAGGCCUGAGUACCCCAAGCCAGUGGGCUUCCACCUUCCUGACCACCCACCACCGCCAAAGAGCGUUUUCAGAAGGCCGGAAGGACUCACGUGCCUAAAGGACAAAGCUCGGGCACUAACGUAUGAAUGAGAAGCAUGUUCUUUUUUUUUUUUUUUACAUCAGACUAACAUCCCUAAAAUCUCCUCCUGCCCCCACUGAUCCUGUGUCUUUGCCCCAAAAACAUCUUACCCAUUCAGCAAAGUUGAACCGAGCUCCUACUCUGCCCUGUGGGGUCCCGGGGCAACAAAUGUGACCCGCUCCUGCUCCCCAGCCUGGAAGAGCUCGCAACCGGGCAGGGAAAGCGGAUGCUGCACCAGUAAUAGGAGGGAAGGUAAAGCUUGCUGGAGAUGCCUGUUAAUCCAGAGAAUCAGGUCUGCCCAAAGGUCUCCGCGAACGUGAUGUUGGUGCAGAGCCUCGCAGGGCCAGUAUGAGGAUUUAUCUCAGAGGCAGAAGCACCAAGAAACCCACCCAUGGAAUAUAGAACUCCUUCAAGGACCUGCUAAUGCUUCUAGGGCCCACUGAGAAGGAUCCAUGUUAGCUAGAGUGGUCUGGAAAUGAAUCCACAGCAUCUCUGGAGUAUGACCUGUUGCCCAUCCUGGACUCAGAGGGCAGCCCCGGGCAACAAGGAAAAAGCUGCAAGAACAGGAAGGGAAGAGGUGAACUCAUUACCUGGUCGCUGCCCCCAGCGCACCAUCCUCUUACCCUUCUCUGCACCCCUGUCGCCCUCUCCCCACCCCCACCCAAGGGCUAGACCUCACUGAGGUGCCCGGGCCAGCCACACUUCCCAAGAGGCUCAUGCCAAUUAGAAAAUAUCCAAAUCAGGGAUGCCUGGGUGGCUCAGCGGUUGGGCAUCUGCCUUCCACUCAGGGCCUGAUCCUGGAGACCCGGGAUAGAGUCCCAUGUCGGGCUCCCUGCAUGGAGCCUGCUUCUCCCUCUGCCUGU
This is a long non-coding RNA of Canis lupus familiaris (dog), 1924 nucleotides long. RefSeq lists it as uncharacterized. The transcript has 5 exons. Lineage: Eukaryota; Metazoa; Chordata; Mammalia; Carnivora; Canidae. The record is from RefSeq and is a predicted model, not a curated record.